This 396-nucleotide ribosomal RNA is filed under the name uncultured bacterium. RNAcentral describes it as "bacterial SSU rRNA". It matches the Rfam family "Bacterial small subunit ribosomal RNA", at positions 28 to 409 of the family's 1533-position model. The record is from RNAcentral.
GAUGAACGCUGGCGGCGUGUCUAAGGCAUGCAAGUCGAACGGACUGUUAUUUGUAGCAAUACUUAGAACAGUUAGUGGCAAACGGGUGCGUAACACAUUGGUAACCUGCCUCAAAGUCGGGCAUAAUCCCGCGAAAGUGGGACUAAUUCCACGAUAGUCAUCGAAGGUGAGAUUCCUUCGAUGUAAAGUCGCAAGACGCUUUGAGAGGGGCCUAUGGCCUAUCAGCUUGUUGGUGAGGUAACGGCUCACCAAGGCUAUGACGGGUAGGGGUGUGAGAGCACGACCCCCCUCACUGGGACGUGAGACACUGCCCACGACACCUACCGGGUGGGCUGCAGUCGAGAAUAUUCCCCAACUGGCCGAAAGGACGUGAGGGAGCGACGCCGCGUGCAGGAA